AACGAACGCUGGCGGCAUGCCUAACACAUGCAAGUCGAACGAGACCUUCGGGUCUAGUGGCGCACGGGUGCGUAACGCGUGGGAACCUGCCUUUAGGUUCGGAAUAACUCAGAGAAAUUUGAGCUAAUACCGGAUAAUGUCUUCGGACCAAAGAUUUAUCGCCUUUAGAUGGGCCCGCGUAAGAUUAGCUAGUUGGUGGGGUAAAGGCCUACCAAGGCGACGAUCUUUAGCUGGUCUGAGAGGAUGAUCAGCCACACUGGGACUGAGACACGGCCCAGACUCCUACGGGAGGCAGCAGUGGGAAUAUUGGACGAAUAGGGCAAAAAGACCUGAUCCAGCAAUGCCGCGUGAGUGAUGAAGGCCUUAGGGUUGUAAAGGACUCUUUUACCCGUACGAUGAUAAUAGACAGUAUCGGAGAAUAAGACUCCGGCGUAACUACCGUGCCAGCAGCUGCGGUAA
This 459-nucleotide ribosomal RNA is filed under the name uncultured bacterium. RNAcentral describes it as "bacterial SSU rRNA". It matches the Rfam family "Bacterial small subunit ribosomal RNA", at positions 29 to 523 of the family's 1533-position model. The record is from RNAcentral.